GUGAGCUCUGAUCCAGCUGGAUGCUGAACAAUGAAAUCAUCUCCUUGCCUGGCAUUUGCCACUUUGUUCCUCCACAAUGCUCCUGGUGGGUCUGCUGAGCCUGGGUGGUGCCCACGACCUGGCUGACAGACCUGGCUCCUGGAGCACCGGGAAGCACCAGCCCUUGCCUGCCUAUCCUGUGCUCUGUGCUGCUGCUCACCACGGAAGAGCCAAGUCCUCGGUCUGUACGAGCAGGUAUCAGUAUCCUAAGACCUGCAACAUAUUUAAACAGAAGUUAACAUAACUGUUCACUGAAUGGAGCUACCUGAAAAUUCACAACUGCCAGAGAACUUCGUGCUGUCAGAGGAAAAGGACAGACAUUUCAACAGUCCAUUUCUGGCUCUUGGUCUCACCUUUGGGUAAGUGAGUAUUUUAGUGCGUCAUGGUACAGAAGACACAUGGGACAGAAGACAAGACAGAAGACAAAUAAUCCUGUUCAACCUACAAAAGGUAUGAUGGUUUUGAAAUACAGAGGUCUAGACCCACUUUCACAUUUCUUAACAGUGUUGAGAUGAUAAGAUGAUGUGUUACAACAUUACGUCAUUAAGAUGAGGUGCUACUGAUAAUUAAGUUCUUUUGAUAGCAAAAUAAUUCUGCAAUGAAGAUAAUUUCUGUCAUGCAGGCUCUCACAGUAGCAUUCAAAAAGAAAAGGAGGAUGUUUUGAACUUCUACUGGAAGACUGACAUCACACUUAAAGAUGAUAUGAGGAGUGAUAUCGGGUCUGUACAUUGCUAACACGUUAUUUAUACAUGCUAUAUGUUAACUUGCCAAACUGGAGAGUUUGUCACGUGGAGAACCAGGCAGUGCAGAAUGGGUUGACACAGUCUCAGAAGAUACAGGUCAUGAGAGCAACAAUUUGUUUUGACAGCAGUUGUGUUUCUACUACCAGAAAUGCUCUCUGCUUUUCUUAAAUACUUCUGACAUACUGCAUGGCAUUUAUUUUUCUGCCAAAUUAAUUAUGCAGCUUCCCUUUUCACCCUGCCAUCAGUAGCAUCAUUUUAUCCAGGGGUGAGCUGGAGCCUGAAGCUGGCCCGAGUGGGCUGGCUGGGCCCAGGCGAGCUGUGCCAGAACAUCAGGCUGUUUCUGUGUGUCAUUCCCCAAGCCAGGGCAGUUCCUGCUCCCCACCACAGAUCUGAGCUGUGUUUUCUGUGCUGUGUGGCACUCAAAUUAGACUUACCUGGCAGAUCUGCUUAUGGUAAGAUGGUAGGACAGACCUCUUUGUAUCUUACACAGAAUGGUUUAGGUCAGAAGGGACCUCUGGAGGCCAUGUAGUCCAGCCCCCUCUCAAGUAGCAGGGAAAGAACAUUUAAUUCUUCAUCGCAGAGUGCCAUGAAAGUCAUAGGUGAGCUUUGUUUGGUGUCCAGUGUGUUCUCUCUAGAAGUAUGAAGGCAGACUUUGAAAGCCAUGGAAGCAGAAUGCUGCAUGCCAAGUUAUCUGUAUUCUUUUUAAGUUUUUAAUAGUGUUUUGUACUCAUAUAUGUUGAUCCUACUUGGAUUAGCUGUAGGUAAACUACUCUAAAAUCCAUACUUGCAUGGAGACCCGACUGUGAUUCUAUUUGUGUGAUGAUAACCACAGCUAAUGGCAUUUUUCUAAUGAGUUUAUGAAAUUCUGGGGAGACUUUUAUUAUUUUGUUCUUGGAUUUUUUUUCUGCAUAUCUUUCCCUGAAGUAUAGUUUAGCUUUUUGUUAGUCUGUCAAAUAGACAUUCUCACAUUCUCAAGAGAAGAUUGGGUGUUUUUUUUUUUUUCCUGAGGCCAGCUGUUUUCUAAGAAGAAGAAAAAAGAGUUUUUUUUUGUUUUUUUUUGUUUUUUUAAUCGAUUUAAACAUGAGUUUGGGAGGAAUUUGGAUCUUUCUUUCUUUUGUAACUGUAGAAAACUUCUGUUGAGUGCAUGUCCCCAUGAUUUUCUUCAACAGCAUGUACUGUGGUAUUACAGAAUACACAAGAAUAUAAUAGAGUUAGACCUGAAUGUAGCAAUAUUUUGUUGUCAGUUAUGUUAGCUCAGAAAUGCCUCUAACAUUGUUAAAAGUAAUCCAAGAUGGAAUCUCUUACUGCCUGUUAGUUGUCUCUUGAUGAUGAUUAUUAUUUGAUAUUUGUUUCUUCAUGGAGGUAGAUAUUCAAGAAAAGAGUGAUGUUCCCAUCAAAACUAUUUUCCUGUAUACUAAAUUAAAACCUGAACAAAAAGAAAUGGUUUUGCCAGAUACGAUAAAGUUUUUAUUUUGAAUGUCUCUUUAACAUAUUUUAGAUACUUAGAAUGCUUUCAAAAUUAUUCGUAACCUUGCAAAGCCAUUUCUUGAGACAAAUAGAUAGGUUGGUUUGUUUGAACAUCCAGCAGAGAAACUGGAUUGCUGAAUUACCACCAGUUAUUAUUCAAGUGGGUUUUUUCUCUAAAGGCUGCUGCAGCCAGGGACAUUCAUCGGCGUAGCCCAGUGGAGACUUCACUUCCUACACACAGGUUUGGGAAAAGCCCAUUUGUUUCUGAACAAUUACAAAUUCAAAAUGUACAGGGCUUUAAUAUGCUAAUAUUGUCACAAUGAUUUUUUUUUUUAAAUUUAUGAAAGAAACAGAUUGAAGGAAAUCUUGUGCUUUAUUAUCAAGAUCUGCUGGAGGUAGAAUCUAUCAGUCUUACCUUUGUCUUGAAGUCCAGUAAUUCUGCAUUCCAGUGAUUAAUUUGCUAGGAAGUUCCAUCAUUCAGCACCCUUGAAUUGCAUCACUGAGUUUUUAUGAAACAUUUUUAUUACUGACUGAAAUAUUUGGAAAAAAAAUGGUUUAACGACUCUUGAGGCACAUAUUCUGAGUGAAAAAUAAAUAAAUAAAAUAGCCCA
This 2860-nucleotide long non-coding RNA is filed under the name Anas platyrhynchos platyrhynchos (common mallard). RNAcentral's name for it is "lncRNA (ENSAPLG00000022775.1)". The record is from RNAcentral. Lineage: Eukaryota; Metazoa; Chordata; Aves; Anseriformes; Anatidae.